This 1034-nucleotide ribosomal RNA is filed under the name Nocardiopsis sp. RNAcentral's name for it is "bacterial SSU rRNA". It matches the Rfam family "Bacterial small subunit ribosomal RNA", at positions 49 to 1091 of the family's 1533-position model. The record is from RNAcentral. Lineage: Bacteria; Bacillati; Actinomycetota; Actinomycetes; Streptosporangiales; Nocardiopsidaceae.
CUACCAUGCAGUCGAGCGGUAAGGCCCUUCGGGGUACACGAGCGGCGAACGGGUGAGUAACACGUGAGCAACCUGCCCCUGACUCUGGGAUAAGCGGUGGAAACGCCGUCUAAUACCGGAUACGACCCGCCACCUCAUGGUGGAGGGUGGAAAGUUUUUCGGUCAGGGAUGGGCUCGCGGCCUAUCAGCUUGUUGGUGGGGUAACGGCCUACCAAGGCGAUUACGGGUAGCCGGCCUGAGAGGGCGACCGGCCACACUGGGACUGAGACACGGCCCAGACUCCUGCGGGAGGCAGCAGUGGGGAAUAUUGCGCAAUGGGCGAAAGCCUGACGCAGCGACGCCGCGUGGGGGAUGACGGCCUUCGGGUUGUAAACCUCUUUUACCACCAACGCAGGCUUCCAGUUCUCUGGAGGUUGACGGUAGGUGGGGAAUAAGGACCGGCUAACUACGUGCCAGCAGCCGCGGUAAUACGUAGGGUCCGAGCGUUGUCCGGAAUUAUUGGGCGUAAAGAGCUCGUAGGCGGCGUGUCGCGUCUGCUGUGAAAGACCGGGGCUUAACUCCGGUUCUGCAGUGGAUACGGGCAUGCUAGAGGUAGGUAGGGGAGACUGGAAUUCCUGGUGUAGCGGUGAAAUGCGCAGAUAUCAGGAGGAACACCGGUGGCGAAGGCGGGUCUCUGGGCCUUACCUGACGCUGAGGAGCGAAAGCAUGGGGAGCGAACAGGAUUAGAUACCCUGGUAGUCCAUGCCGUAAACGUUGGGCGCUAGGUGUGGGGACUUUCCACGGUUUCCGCGCCGUAGCUAACGCAUUAAGCGCCCCGCCUGGGGAGUACGGCCGCAAGGCUAAAACUCAAAGGAAUUGACGGGGGCCCGCACAAGCGGCGGAGCAUGUUGCUUAAUUCGACGCAACGCGAAGAACCUUACCAAGGUUUGACAUCACCCGUGGACUCGCAGAGAUGUGAGGUCAUUUAGUUGGCGGUGACAGUGGUGCAUGGCUGUCGUCAGCUCGUGUCGUGAGAUGUUGGGUUAAGUCCCGCA